Molecule: ribosomal RNA, 305 nt
Filed under: uncultured bacterium
Lineage: Bacteria
Description: bacterial SSU rRNA
Rfam family: Bacterial small subunit ribosomal RNA
Source: RNAcentral
UCCUACGGGGCGCAGCAGUUGGGAAUAUUGGACAAUGGAGGAAACUCUGAUCCAGUGACGCCGCGUGAAGGAAGAAGGUCUUCGGAUUGUAAACUUAUUUUGUCAGGGAAGAAACAAAUGACUGUACCUGAAGAAAAAGCACCGGCUAACUACGUGCCAGCAGCCGCGGUAAUACGUAGGGUGCAAGCGUUAUCCGGAUUUACUGGGCGUAAAGGGAGCGUAGACGGCAGUGCAAGUCUGAAGUGAAAGCCCCGGGCUUAACCCGGGAACUGCUUUGGAAACUGUACGGCUGGAGUGCUGGAGAG